This 249-nucleotide ribosomal RNA is filed under the name uncultured bacterium. RNAcentral's name for it is "partial 16S ribosomal RNA". It matches the Rfam family "Bacterial small subunit ribosomal RNA", at positions 523 to 770 of the family's 1533-position model. The record is from RNAcentral.
AUACGUAGGUGGCAAGCGUUGUCCGGAUUUAUUGGGCGUAAAGCGAGCGCAGGUCGGUUUUUUAAGUCUGAUGUGAAAGCCUUCGGCUCAACCGAAGAAGUGCAUCGGAAACUGGGAAACUUGAGUGCAGAAGAGGACAGUGGAACUCCAUGUGUAGCGGUGAAAUGCGUAGAUAUAUGGAAGAACACCAGUGGCGAAGGCGGCUGUCUGGUCUGUAACUGACGCUGAGGCUCGAAAGUAUGGGUAGAC